This 445-nucleotide ribosomal RNA is filed under the name uncultured bacterium. RNAcentral's name for it is "partial 16S ribosomal RNA". It matches the Rfam family "Bacterial small subunit ribosomal RNA", at positions 354 to 796 of the family's 1533-position model. The record is from RNAcentral.
GUAGGGAAUAUUGGGCAAUGGAGGCAACUCUGACCCAGCCAUGCCGCGUGCAGGAAGACGGUCCUCUGGAUUGUAAACUGCUUUUGAAUGGGAAGAAACGCACUUUUGCGAAAGUGUUUGACGGUACUAUUAGAAUAAGCACCGGCUAACUCCGUGCCAGCAGCCGCGGUAAUACGGAGGGUGCAAGCGUUAUCCGGAUUUAUUGGGUUUAAAGGGUGCGUAGGCGGCUUAAUAAGUCUGGGGUUAAAGGCGGCAGCUUAACUGUACGCAUGCCCUGGAAACUGUGAGGCUUGAGUGACUUGGAGGUAGCUGGAAUUCCCUGUGUAGCGGUGAAAUGCAUAGAUACGGGGAGGAAUACCGAUUGCGAAGGCAUGUUACUACGAGUAAACUGACGCUGAUGCACGAAAGCGUGGGGAUCAAACAGGAUUAGAUACCCGAGUAGUCC